GGAGGUACUCAAGUCAUGGGGAUCAGCUGACCCCAUGACUUUUAAAAAUUUGUAUUACAUGUUCAUUUUAAUAGCGUAAAAUGGAAGAUUUAGUUAAAUGAUUGAAAAAUUGACCCCCUUGGUAAAGGUUCAAAUGCUAACUUUGCACCCCGUUAAAUUUUUUCUCUCAUCUAAUUGCCUAGUUUUUUUUUUUUGUAACUGUUAGUUGUUUGUUUUUAAUAUGCUAUGGACAAUCUUUAGGAAAAAAAAUCAAUUCUUCCGUAUAUAAGUUGUUCCUUGUUACAAUUGCUUUUAGUUUUAUAACUCUAAAACAUUGUUUGAUAACAAUUUUUAUCUACAAAAAUCAAUAAAAUUUACAUAAAUAAUUUAAGUGAAUAAAUUAUAAAACCUUAUAUACUAUGCAAAUGAUUUAGAUGUUAGUAUAUAU
Molecule: long non-coding RNA, 427 nt
Filed under: Brassica napus (rape)
Lineage: Eukaryota; Viridiplantae; Streptophyta; Magnoliopsida; Brassicales; Brassicaceae
Description: long non-coding RNA (BNAP_LNC020661)
Source: RNAcentral